AGUUUUGUGUGACACAUCAGACCCCUGAGCAGAACAGAGCCCACCUUAGGAAUCCUGGGCUCCUCUGAAUACUGGAUGCAAAGGAGCUCCAUCCCACAUGAAGAGAAAGAGCCAUAGCUGUCAACGUUUCCCUUUUUAAAAAGGGAAAUUCCCAUAUUCCGAAUAGGAUUCCUCGCAAGAAAAGGGAAAAGUUGACAGCUAUGGAGACAGCCUCUCUGGCCAAAGACAUUUCUCAACCUUGGAAUUCUGCUCUGUUGCAGAGAAGCCUGGGCAAUGUCCUGGGGCUCAGCCAGGUAUGGUCGGACCCUGCGUGGUGAACUGUGAGGAUGACUGGUCAUGCUCUGGAGCUCAGAAGUGCUGCGGGAGUUGCCCACGAGAUUGUGCUAAUCCUGUCAGAGAGAGGUCUGGAAGAUGCCCUAUACCACCUCAAGGUACUGUGACAACCUGUGAAUUACGGUGUAUGAAUGACUAUGAAUGCCCCUGGCCCAAGAAGUGCUGCAAAUAUGGGUGCAAGACAGACUGCUUCUACCCUGUCUAAGAGCCCUGAAAGAGGUCCAGCACCAAGGACAGCGCCCAGUCCUGACUUCUCCACAGGGGUCUCUGAGCUGGCCCUGGGAACUGAAGACCUCCUCCUGGAGCCAGCCGUCUCCCUGCUCCUUCUUCCUCCUCCUGGAGCCCAUUUCACUCAAGUUCCCCUUUGCUAUUUGCAAUAAAUAAACCUGGAUAUUUGCAC
This 733-nucleotide long non-coding RNA is filed under the name Podarcis muralis (Common wall lizard). RNAcentral describes it as "lncRNA (ENSPMRG00000007171.1)". The record is from RNAcentral. Lineage: Eukaryota; Metazoa; Chordata; Lepidosauria; Squamata; Lacertidae.